UGACCUCGGAUCAGGUAGGAUCCCCG
Molecule: ribosomal RNA, 26 nt
Filed under: Lobothallia alphoplaca
Lineage: Eukaryota; Fungi; Ascomycota; Lecanoromycetes; Pertusariales; Megasporaceae
Also listed under: 1 other name
Description: partial 26S ribosomal RNA
Source: RNAcentral